This 489-nucleotide ribosomal RNA is filed under the name uncultured bacterium. Its description in RNAcentral is "bacterial SSU rRNA". It matches the Rfam family "Bacterial small subunit ribosomal RNA", at positions 28 to 507 of the family's 1533-position model. The record is from RNAcentral.
GAUGAACGCUAGCUACAGGCCUAACACAUGCAAGUCGAGGGGCAUCGGGCGUCGGACUUGUCCGACGUGCCGGCGACCGGCGAAUGGGUGAGUAACGCGUAUCCAACCUGCCCGCCAGCCAGGGACAGCCUCCCGAAAGGGAGAUUAAUACCUGACGUUGUGACGAUGGGGCAUCCUGUUGUCACGGAAGAUUUAUCGUUGGUGGAUGGGGAUGCGUCCGAUUAGCUGGUUGGUACGGUAACGGCGUACCAAGGCUACGAUCGGUAGGGGUUCUGAGAGGAAGGUCCCCCACAUUGGAACUGAGACACGGUCCAAACUCCUACGGGAGGCAGCAGUGAGGAAUAUUGGUCAAUGGGCGAAGCCUGAACCAGCCAAGUAGCGUGAGGGAAGACUGCCCUAUGGGUUGUAAACCUCUUUUGUUUGGGAGCAAAGUGCGCCACGUGUGGUGUAUUGCGAGUACCAUUCGAAUAAGCAUCGGCUAAUUCCGUG